AGUGAACGCUGGCGGUAGGCCUAACACAUGCAAGUCGAACGGCAGCACAGUAGGAGCUUGCUCUUACGGGUGGCGAGUGGCGGACGGGUGAGGAAUACAUCGGAAUCUACUUUUUCGUGGGGGAUAACGUAGGGAAACUUACGCUAAUACCGCAUACGACCUACGGGUGAAAGCAGGGGAUCUUCGGACCUUGCGCGAUUGAAUGAGCCGAUGUCGGAUUAGCUAGUUGGCGGGGUAAAGGCCCACCAAGGCGACGAUCCGUAGCUGGUCUGAGAGGAUGAUCAGCCACACUGGAACUGAGACACGGUCCAGACUCCUACGGGAGGCAGCAGUGGGGAAUAUUGGACAAUGGGCGCAAGCCUGAUCCGGCCAUACCGCGUGGGUGAAGAAGGCCUUCGGGUUGUAAAGCCCUUUUGUUGGGAAAGAAAAGCAGCAGGUUAAUACCCCGCUGUUCUGACGGUACCCAAAGAAUAAGCACCGGCUAACUUCGUG
Molecule: ribosomal RNA, 492 nt
Filed under: uncultured bacterium
Lineage: Bacteria
Description: partial 16S ribosomal RNA
Rfam family: Bacterial small subunit ribosomal RNA
Source: RNAcentral